RNA transcript from Oncorhynchus keta (chum salmon), 4105 nucleotides. It is a transcript of the gene named testis-specific serine/threonine-protein kinase 5-like, with no coding region annotated. The record is from RefSeq and is a predicted model, not a curated record. NCBI's taxonomy places the organism in Eukaryota, Metazoa, Chordata, Actinopteri, Salmoniformes, Salmonidae. The transcript has 3 exons.
CAAGUAUUUGAUACACUGCCGAUUUUGCAGGUUUUCCUACGUACAAAGCAUUUACAGGUCUGUAAUUUUUAUCAUAGGUACACAUCAACUGUGAGAGACGGAAUCUAAAACAAAAAUCCAGAAAAUCAUAUUGUAUGAUUAAGUAAUUAAUUUGCAUUUUAUUGCAUGACAUAAGUAUUUGAUCACCAACCAACCAGUAAGAAUUCUGGCUCUCACAGACCUGUUAGUUUUUCUUUAAGAAGCCCUCCUGUUCUCCACUCAUUACCUGUAUUAACUGCACCUGUUUGAACUCGUUACCUGUAUAAAAGACACCUGUCCACACACUCAAACCUCUCCACAAUGGCCAAGACCAGAGAGCUGUGUAAGGACAUCAGCGAUAAAAUUGUAGACCUGCACUAGGCUGGGAUGGGCUACAGGACAAUAGGCAAGCAGCUUGGUGAGAAGGCAACAACUGUUGCCGCAAUUAUUAGAAAAUGGAAGAAGUUCAAGAUGACGGUCAAUCACCCUCGGUCUGGGGCUCCAUGCAAGAUCUCACCUCGUGGGGCAUCAAUGAUCAUGAGGAAGGUGAGAGAUCAGCCCAGAACUACACAGCAGGACCUGGUCAAUGACCUGAAGAGAGCUGGGACCACAGUCUCAAAGAAAACCAUUAGUAACACACAGCGCACGCAAGGUCCCCCUGCUCAAGCCAGCACAUGUCCAGGCCCGUCUGAAGUUUGCCAAUGACCAUCUGGAUGAUCCAGAGGAGGAACCGGAGGUCUUGUGGUCUGAUGAGACAAAAAUAGAGCUUUUUGGUCUAAACUCCACUCGCUGUGUUUGGAGGAAGAAGAAGGAUGAGUACAACCCCGAGAACAACAUCCCAACGGUGAAGCAUGGAGGUGGAAACAUCAUUCUUUGGGGAUGCUUUUCUGCAAAGGGGACAGGACGACUACACCCCAGUAAGAGCAUUAAAGAUGGGUCGUGGCUGGGUCUUCCAGCAUGACAACGACCCGAAACACACAGCCAGGGCAACUAAGGAGUGGCUCCGUAAGAAGCAUCUCAAGGUCCUGGAGUGGCCUAGCCAGUCUCCAGACCUGAACCCAAUAGAAAAUCUUUGGAGGGAGCUGAAAGUCUGUAUUGCCGAGUGACAGCCCCAAAACCUGAAAGAUCCGGAGAAGGUCUGUAUGGAGGAGUGGGCCAAAAUCCCUGCUACAGUGUGUGCAAACCUGGUCAAGUACUACAGGAAACGUAUGAUCUCUGUAAUUGCAAACAGGUUUCUGUACCAAAUAUUAAGUUCUGCUUUUCUGAUGUAUGAAAUACUUAUGUCAUGCAAUAAAAUGCAAAUGAAUUACUUAAAUCAUACAAUGUGAUUUUCUGGAUUUUUGUUUUGGAUUCAGUCUCUCACAGUUGAAGUGUACCUAUGAUAAAAAAAUUACAGACCUCUACAAUCUUUAAGUAGGGAAACCUGCAAAAUCGGCAGUGUAUCAAAUACCUGUUCUCCCCACUGUAUGGAAUAAUGUAGUAACCAAAAAAAGUGUUAAACAAAUCUACAUAUUUGAGAUUCUUCAAAGUAGCCAACCUUUGCCUUGAUGACAGAUUUGCACACUCUUGGCAUUUUCUCAACCAGCUUCAUGAGGUAGUCACCUGUAAUGCAUUUCAAUCAACAGGUGGGCCUUGUUAAAAGUUCAUUUGUGGAAUUUCUUUCCUUAAUGCAUUUGAGCCAAUCAGUUGUGUUGUGACACAGUAGGGGUGGUAUACAGAAGAUACCCCUAUUUGGCAAAAUACCAAAUCCAUAUUAUGGCAAGAACAGCUCAAAUAAGCGAAAUUACAGUCCAUCAUUACAUUAAGACAUGAAUGUCAAUCAAUGCGGAAAGUUUCAAUUUGAAUGUUACUUUAAGUGCAGUUGCAAAAAACAUCAAGUGCUAUGAUGAAACUGGCUCUCAUGAGGACCACCACAGGAAAGGAAGACCCAGAGUUACCUCUGCUGCAGAGGAUAAGUUCAUUAGAGUUGCCAGCCUCAGAAAUUGCAGCUCAAAUAAAUGCUUCACAGAGUUCAAGUAGCAAACAAAUCUCAACAUCAAUUGUUCAGAGGAGACUGUGUGAAUCAGGCCUUCAUGGUCGAAUUACUGCAAAGAAACCACUACUCAAGGACACCAAUAUGAAGAAGAGACUUGCUGGGGCCAAGAAACACGAGCAAUGAACAUUAGACCGCUGGAAAUCUGUCCUUUGGUCUGAUGAAUCCAAAUGUGAGAUUUUUGGUUCCAACCGCUGUGUCUUUGUGAGACGCAGAGUAGGUGAACAGAUGAUCUCCGCUUGUGUGGUUCCCACCGUGAAGCAUGGAGGAGGUGUGAUGGUGCUUUACUGGUGACACUGUCUUUGAUUUAUUUAGAAUUCAAGGCACACUUAACCAGCAUGGCUACCACAGCAUUCUGCAGCGAUACGCCACCCCAUCUGGUUUGUGCUUAGUGGGACUAUCAUUUGUUUUUCAACAGGACAAUGACCCAACACAUCUCCAGGCUGUGUAAGGGCUAUUUGACCAAGAAGGAGAGUGAUGGAGUGCUGGAUCAGAUGACCUGGCCUCCACAAUCCCCCGACCUCAACCCAAUUGAGAUGGUUUGGGAUGAGUUGGACCGCAGAGUGAAGGAAUUUUUUAUUUUAUUUUACCUUUAUUUAACUAGGCAAAUCAGUUGAUAACAAAUUCUUAUUUUCAAUGACGGCCUAGGAACAGUGGGUUAACUGCCUGUUCAGGGGCAGAACAACAGAUUUGUACCUUGUCAGCUCGGGGAUUUGAACUUGCAACCUUCCGGUUACUAGUCCAACGCUCUAACCCCUAGUAGCCCUGCCGCCCCGAAAAGCAGCUAGUGCUCAGCAAAUGUGGGAACUCCUUCAAGACUGUUGGAAAAGCAUUCCAGGUGAAGCUGGUUGAGAGAAUGUCACGAGUGUGCAAAGCUGUCAUCAAGGCAAUGGGUGGCUACUUUGAAGAAUCUCAAAUAUAAAAUAGAUUUUGAUUGGUUUAGCACUUAUUCGGUUACUACAUGAUUCCAUGUGUGUUAUUUCAUAGUUUUGAUGUCUUCACUAUAAUUCUACAAUGUAGAAAAUAGUACAAAUAAAGAAAAACCCUUGAAUGAUUAGGUGUGUCCAAACUUUUGACUGGUACUGUACACUACCAUUCAAUUUAACCAUUCAAAUGUUUGGGGUCACUUAGAAAAGCUCAUUUUUUUGUCCAUUAAAAUAAGAUAAAAUUGAUCAGACAUACAGUGUAGACAUUGUUAAUGCUGUAAAUGACUAUUGUAGCUGGAAACGUCUGAUUUUUAAUGGAAUAUGUACAUAGGCGUGCAGAGGCCCACAUUGUGUUAGCUAAUGUUAAAGAAGCAAUAAAACUGUCCUUUAGACUAGUUGGGUAUCUCCAUUGAACAUGCCAUUUAGUCCAGGAAUAGGCCUAAUCUGGCUCCGGGAAACUGGCCCUUAGAAACCCAAAUUGUUUUGCAAUAAAGUUUUGAUGUGAUGUCAAGCAUGCACCUGCAUCCAGAGUGUGUACCAUAGAAGUAGAAUCAUUAGGUAAAUAGAUUAUAUUUAUGUGGUGGGUACUCUACUUUUGAACAGGUCCAGCUGUAUGACAUGUUCCGUUCACUGAAGCGGUUCUAUCUGAUUCUGGAGCUGGCUCUGAGCGGAGACCUUUUAGAACACAUCAACGCCGUGUCCCAUAGCAAGGGCAGCCCGGGCCUCAGUGAAGAGGAGGCUCGCAGGCUCUUCAAACAGAUAGUCAAUGCUGUCAUGCACUGUCACAACAACCACAUAGUACACAGGUAACACCUCACUGUCACAACAACCACAUAGUACACAGGUAACACCUCACUGUCACAACAACCACAUAGUACACAGGUAACACCUCACUGUCACAACAACCACAUAGUACACAGGUAACACCUCACUGUCACAACAUCCACAUAGUACACAGGUAACAUCUCACUGUCUGCAAUAACAACCACAUAGUAAACAGGUAACACCUCACUGUCACAACAUCCACAUAGUACACAGGUAACAUCUCACUGUCUGCAAUAACAACCACAUAGUAAACAGGUAACACCUCACUGUCACAACAACCACAUAGUACACAGGUAACAUCUCA